This 496-nucleotide ribosomal RNA is filed under the name uncultured bacterium. Its description in RNAcentral is "partial 16S ribosomal RNA". It matches the Rfam family "Bacterial small subunit ribosomal RNA", at positions 28 to 506 of the family's 1533-position model. The record is from RNAcentral.
GACGAACGCUGGCGGCGUGCCUAAUACAUGCAAGUUGGGCGCUGAAGGUUGGUCCUUGUACCAACUGGAUGAGCAGCGAACGGGUGAGUAACGCGUGGGGAAUCUGCCUUUGAGCGGGGGACAACAUGUGGAAACGAAUGCUAAUACCGCAUAACAACUUUAAACACAAGUUUUAAGUUUGAAAGAUGCAAUUGCAUCACUCAAAGAUGAUCCCGCGUUGUAUUAGCUAGUUGGUGAGGUAAAGGCUCACCAAGGCGAUGAUACAUAGCCGACCUGAGAGGGUGAUCGCCGACAUUGGGACUGAGACACGGCCCAAACUCCUACGGGAGGCAGCAGUAGGGAAUCUUCGGCAAUGGACGAAAGUCUGACCGAGCAACGCCGCGCGAGUGAAGAAGGUUUUCGGAUCGUAAAACUCUGUUGGUAGAGAAGAACGUGGGUGAGAGUGGAAAGCUCAUCAAGUGACGGUAACUACCCAGAAAGGGACGGCUAACUACGU